UGGGGAAUAUUGCACAAUGGGCGCAAGCCUGAUGCAGCCAUGCCGCGUGUGUGAAGAAGGCCUUCGGGUUGUAAAGCACUUUCAGCGAGGAGGAAGGUGGUGAGCUUAAUACGUUCAUCAAUUGACGUUACUCGCAGAAGAAGCACCGGCUAACUCCGUGCCAGCAGCCGCGGUAAUACGGAGGGUGCAAGCGUUAAUCGGAAUUACUGGGCGUAAAGCGCACGCAGGCGGUUUGUUAAGUCAGAUGUGAAAUCCCCGGGCUCAACCUGGGAACUGCAUUUGAAACUGGCAAGCUAGAGUCUCGUAGAGGGGGGUAGAAUUCCAGGUGUAGCGGUGAAAUGCGUAGAGAUCUGGAGGAAUACCGGUGGCGAAGGCGGCCCCCCUGGACGAAGACUGACGCUCAGGUGCGAAAGCGUGGGGCAGCAAACAGGAUUAGAUACCCUGGUAGUCCACGCUGUAAACGAUGUCGAUUUGGAGGUUGUGCCCCUUGAGGCGUGGCUUCCGGAGCUAACGCGUUAAAUCGACCGCCUGGGGAGUACGGCCGCAAGGUUAAAACUCAAAUGAAUUG
RNAcentral lists this ribosomal RNA (568 nucleotides) under uncultured bacterium. Its description in RNAcentral is "partial 16S ribosomal RNA". It matches the Rfam family "Bacterial small subunit ribosomal RNA", at positions 355 to 912 of the family's 1533-position model. The record is from RNAcentral.